This 466-nucleotide ribosomal RNA is filed under the name uncultured bacterium. Its description in RNAcentral is "partial 16S ribosomal RNA". It matches the Rfam family "Bacterial small subunit ribosomal RNA", at positions 28 to 507 of the family's 1533-position model. The record is from RNAcentral.
GAUGAACGCUGGCGGCGUGCUUAACACAUGCAAGUCGAACGAUGAAGCCCAGCUUGCUGGGUGGAUUAGUGGCGAACGGGUGAGUAACACGUGAGUAACCUGCCCUUAACUCUGGGAUAAGCCUAGGAAACUGGGUCUAAUACCGGAUAGGAGCGUCCACCGCAUGGUGGGUGUUGGAAAGAUUUAUCGGUUUUGGAUGGACUCGCGGCCUAUCAGCUUGUUGGUGAGGUAAUGGCUCACCAAGGCGACGACGGGUAGCCGGCCUGAGAGGGUGACCGGCCACACUGGGACUGAGACACGGCCCAGACUCCUACGGGAGGCAGCAGUGGGGAAUAUUGCACAAUGGGCGAAAGCCUGAUGCAGCGACGCCGCGUGAGGGAUGACGGCCUUCGGGUUGUAAACCUCUUUCAGUAGGGAAGAAGCGAAAGUGACGGUACCUGCAGAAGAAGCACCGGCUAACUACGUG